AGUCGAACGAGAUCUUCGGAUCUAGUGGCGCACGGGUGCGUAACGCGUGGGAAUCUACCCUUGGGUUCGGAAUAACAGUUGGAAACGACUGCUAAUACCGGAUGAUGACGAAAGUCCAAAGAUUUAUCGCCCAGGGAUGAGCCCGCGUAGGAUUAGCUAGUUGGUGAGGUAAAGGCUCACCAAGGCUACGAUCCUUAGCUGGUCUGAGAGGAUGAUCAGCCACACUGGGACUGAGACACGGCCCAGACUCCUACGGGAGGCAGCAGUAGGGAAUAUUGGACAAUGGGGGCAACCCUGAUCCAGCAAUGCCGCGUGAGUGAUGAAGGCCUUAGGGUUGUAAAGCUCUUUUACCCGAGAUGAUAAUGACAGUAUCGGGAGAAUAAGCUCCGGCU
RNAcentral lists this ribosomal RNA (392 nucleotides) under Sphingomonas sp. R2L1. RNAcentral's name for it is "bacterial SSU rRNA". It matches the Rfam family "Bacterial small subunit ribosomal RNA", at positions 60 to 498 of the family's 1533-position model. Lineage: Bacteria; Pseudomonadati; Pseudomonadota; Alphaproteobacteria; Sphingomonadales; Sphingomonadaceae. The record is from RNAcentral.